Molecule: ribosomal RNA, 464 nt
Filed under: uncultured bacterium
Lineage: Bacteria
Description: partial 16S ribosomal RNA
Rfam family: Bacterial small subunit ribosomal RNA
Source: RNAcentral
GACGAACGCUGGCGGCGUGCUUAACACAUGCAAGUCGAACGGAAAGGCCCUGCUUGCAGGGUACUCGAGUGGCGAACGGGUGAGUAACACGUGGGUGAUCUGCCCUGCACUUCGGGAUAAGCCUGGGAAACUGGGUCUAAUACCGGGUAGGAGCCAUCCUUAGUGUGAUGGUUGGAAAGUUUUUUCGGUGUAGGAUGAGCUCGCGGCCUAUCAGCUUGUUGGUGGGGUAGUGGCCUACCAAGGCGGCGACGGGUAGCCGGCCUGAGAGGGUGGACGGCCACAUUGGGACUGAGAUACGGCCCAGACUCCUACGGGAGGCAGCAGUGGGGAAUAUUGCACAAUGGGCGGAAGCCUGAUGCAGCGACGCCGCGUGGGGGAUGACGGCCUUCGGGUUGUAAACUCCUUUCGCUAGGGACGAAGCGUUUGUGACGGUACCUAGAUAAGAAGCACCGGCUAACUACGUG